This 770-nucleotide ribosomal RNA is filed under the name Escherichia coli. RNAcentral describes it as "bacterial SSU rRNA". It matches the Rfam family "Bacterial small subunit ribosomal RNA", at positions 372 to 1135 of the family's 1533-position model. Lineage: Bacteria; Pseudomonadati; Pseudomonadota; Gammaproteobacteria; Enterobacterales; Enterobacteriaceae. The record is from RNAcentral.
UGGGCGCAAGCCUGAUGCAGCCAUGCCGCGUGUAUGAAGAAGGCCUUCGGGUUGUAAAGUACUUUCAGCGGGGAGGAAGGGAGUAAAGUUAAUACCUUUGCUCAUUGACGUUACCCGCAGAAGAAGCACCGGCUAACUCCGUGCCAGCAGCCGCGGUAAUACGGAGGGUGCAAGCGUUAAUCGGAAUUACUGGGCGUAAAGCGCACGCAGGCGGUUUGUUAAGUCAGAUGUGAAAUCCCCGGGCUCAACCUGGGAACUGCAUCUGAUACUGGCAAGCUUGAGUCUCGUAGAGGGGGGUAGAAUUCCAGGUGUAGCGGUGAAAUGCGUAAAGAUCUGGAGGAAUACCGGUGGCGAAGGCGGCCCCCUGGACGAAGACUGACGCUCAAGUGCGAAAGCGUGGGGAGCAAACAGGAUUAAAUACCCUGGUAGUCCACGCCGUAAACGAUGUCGACUUGGAGGUUGUGCCCUUGAGGCGUGGCUUCCGGAGCUAACGCGUUAAGUCGACCGCCUGGGGAGUACGGCCGCAAGGUUAAAACUCAAAUGAAUUGACGGGGGCCCGCACAAGCGGUGGAGCAUGUGGUUUAAUUCGAUGCAACGCGAAGAACCUUACCUGGUCUUGACAUCCACAGAACCUUGCAGAGAUACAAGGGUGCCUUCGGGAACUGUGAGACAGGUGCUGCAUGGCUGUCGUCAGCUCGUGUUGUGAAAUGUUGGGUUAAGUCCCGCAACGAGCGCAACCCUUAUCCUUUGUUGCCAGCGGUCCGGCCGGG